This 439-nucleotide ribosomal RNA is filed under the name uncultured bacterium. Its description in RNAcentral is "partial 16S ribosomal RNA". It matches the Rfam family "Bacterial small subunit ribosomal RNA", at positions 339 to 795 of the family's 1533-position model. The record is from RNAcentral.
CUACGGGUCGCUGCAGUGAGGAAUAUUGCACAAUGGGGGAAACCCUGAUGCAGCAACGCCGCGUGGAGGAUGACGCAUUUCGGUGUGUGAACUCCUUUUAUCAGAGAAGAAAAUGACGGUAUCUGAUGAAUAAGCUCCGGCUAACUCCGUGCCAGCAGCCGCGGUAAUACGGAGGGAGCAAGCGUUAUUCGGAAUCACUGGGCGUAAAGGACGCGUAGGCGGGUUGUUAAGUCAGGUGUGAAAUCCUAUGGCUCAACCAUAGAACUGCACUUGAAACUGGGGAGCUAGAGUAUGGAAGGGGCAGGUGGAAUUAGUGGUGUAGGGGUAAAAUCCGUAGAUAUCACUAGGAAUACCGAAAGCGAAGGCGACCUGCUGGGACAUUACUGACGCUGAGGCGUGAAAGCGUGGGGAGCAAACAGGAUUAGAUACCCUCGUAGUC